GCACUAAUCCACCCAGGGGAACCUGGCCCUUAAUUCGAUGGUCCACGAAUCUCUUACCUUCUCUAGUUUUAUUUCGCCUUAGUUGGCAAAUAAAGACCAGCUUGCAUACCGCCGUUGUUCAGCCUAUACCGACAGGGGAUAAAAAUAGGCGACGCAGCACUAAACCCUCUGGGCGUGCUACCAAUUCAGGUAAACGUGUAGCCUAUGGGAAGGGGCUGCUGGGUUACACUGAUAGCUUUCCAUGGAGCCCCAUGUAAAAACAUGGGGCGAAAAAGGACUUGGAAGUAAUGACUUUGGCUAAUGAAGUGUUGAAUGCUCUGAUAGUGUGUGU
This 331-nucleotide ribosomal RNA is filed under the name Patelloida insignis. Its description in RNAcentral is "partial 12S ribosomal RNA". Lineage: Eukaryota; Metazoa; Mollusca; Gastropoda; Lottiidae. The record is from RNAcentral.